Papilio polytes (common Mormon) is the source of this 251-nucleotide long non-coding RNA. RefSeq lists it as uncharacterized. NCBI's taxonomy places the organism in Eukaryota, Metazoa, Arthropoda, Insecta, Lepidoptera, Papilionidae. The transcript has 3 exons. The record is from RefSeq and is a predicted model, not a curated record.
CGGAGCCCCCGCAGUUCGCGGACUACGCGCUGUACCGGCCCGCGCACCACCUCGCGCGACACACGCCGCACACUGACGACACUCACAGUGGCGAGGAGUGCGGUCGUCUGGUAGAGAGCGUAUCUUCGUACUGCUUGGAUCUGAACCUCGACGACAGCUCCGCCAGACUCACUAAAGCCAAAAAGACGAAAGAGAAAUCCUCGCCUUCUAGUGAAGAAGAGCAUCCGAUAUUGGACCAAAGUGAAGGUUGG